CAAACCAAAGCUGGCGACCGGCGCACGGGUGAGUAACACGUAUCCAACCUGCCUCAUACGUCGGGGAUAGCCUUUCGAAAGAAAGAUUAAUAUCCGAUAGCAUAUAUUUCCCGCAUGGGUUUUAUAUUAAAGAAAUUCGGUAUGAGAUGGGGAUGCGUUCCAUUAGUUUGUUGGGGGGGUAACGGCCCACCAAGACUACGAUGGAUAGGGGUUCUGAGAGGAAGGUCCCCCACAUUGGAACUGAGACACGGUCCAA
RNAcentral lists this ribosomal RNA (256 nucleotides) under uncultured bacterium. Its description in RNAcentral is "partial 16S ribosomal RNA". It matches the Rfam family "Bacterial small subunit ribosomal RNA", at positions 74 to 334 of the family's 1533-position model. The record is from RNAcentral.